AGUAUUGACUUUUUAUUAUUAGUCACUGUUCAUAAUUUGUUUCAACCAAAAGACAAUACACACAGCAGAAUCCGAAUGCAUCCCAUGUAAAUGUUUACAUCCAUGUUAUUCCUCACUCGCCUCCAAGAGACUUAUCAUUUCACUUUAAAGUGUUUUACAUCUCAAAAAUAUGUCUGCAAUAAUUAGAACUUCAUUAGCUGCCCCACUUGGAAACAGCCUUUUAAUAAUUUUACAGUAAAGAAGAUGUGAUGGGGCCUAAUGAAAACCGUAACUUACAACAUAGUAAAAGGAGAAGGACGAUGAUACAAGAACACAGUGGGGUUCACAAAGGAAGGAGUGCAGAAGCCCUUUCCCAUGAGGUCCCCCAAAUAAAAUAAAAACAAAACACACAAAGCGCAAAUGCAGGUCUUUAAGGGGAGAAAGUCUCCAAUGCUCUGUCUUGAAGCCAGGAGCAAGAAGCAACUGCUCAAGCUGCUUCAAGCCGCUUCAGCUUUUUCUUCUGUUUAAGAGUUCCAGGUUCUGGGACUGGAACCUUGUCCAUGGGACCCACUCUCUGCUAUUGCUUGAAAAGGGUUUUCACUUUCAGUUUAGGGCUCUGUAGUUAAAAUACAUUCAGUAGGAAAAGAAAAAUACACAUUCAAACUCCUCCUUCCCCAAGUUUUCACGGCCGAAAUAUAUUCCAAUGUAGAAGAAAAUAAAGUUGAACCACAAAAGCGGUAUUCCCUAACUUCCAACAUUCUCUAAAAGGGCGCAGAAAUGAAAAGCAAGGUGUCAUAUGGGAGAUGGAAAAUUUCAAACUAUUAGUGCUGGACAGUUUUAAAAGUCUGUUUUCAUAUGUGAGGGAAACAAACAAAGGUUAAGAGCCACACCAGGAACCAAGCAAGGAAUACCUGUACUGUUACACUGAGGAAUGUUGCUUUAAAUGAAAAAACCAAAAAACAACAACCAAAAAAAAAACCAAAACACCUCGAAGUUUAACAGAUGAUAACAUACACAGCAGAAAACCUCCAUGACUCCCUAAACCAUCUCAAGGUAACAGCACCAAAGCAUUGUGGGAGAAGCGUGUACAGUUGUCUGAGAUUACUUAGAGGAACUCUCCCUUAGGGUGACUCUGGGAUGGGAAAGAAGGAUGACAUAAAAACUACUCCUCGAGGAAGGCGAUGCUAAUGAGGUACAAGUGCGUAUAAAACUGUCAAUAAGUGGGGCUCACUGCUUAUCACCUUGGCUUUAUUCAAAAGUCACAGAAAUCACUCUCUUCACAAAGGCUCCGAGGUUGUCAUAUACAUCCAAAUCUGUUUCCUCUUGAAGGGUCACGUGUGGGAAAGGAAUGACUGAAAUGUGCGCGCGUAGUCACAGAAACGAAGAGAUUCCUCCUUUAAGCUGCAAGGCCGAGUGAGAAGAGAACUAAUGCUCCUAGAAACUAAGAAGGCACGCUGAAGCUUUCAAAGAUCCAAUCACAGGGGACAGUCUUCACAACCGUCAGCAUCCUAGGCAGGCAUCUGGCUGCUAGUCCGUCAGUAUGGUGUUCAGGUCGUCUCCCAAAUGAACUCCAUAUCUACACAGCACCCUUUGUGUUAAGGCCAUGAUUUUUUUUUUCCUUCUCGAUAAAGCCAUGGAUGAUUGUAAAUGCUACCUCCAAACUCAUCAC
Molecule: long non-coding RNA, 1648 nt
Filed under: Mus musculus (house mouse)
Lineage: Eukaryota; Metazoa; Chordata; Mammalia; Rodentia; Muridae
Description: alncRNA-EC11
Source: RNAcentral